RNAcentral lists this ribosomal RNA (440 nucleotides) under uncultured bacterium. Its description in RNAcentral is "partial 16S ribosomal RNA". It matches the Rfam family "Bacterial small subunit ribosomal RNA", at positions 338 to 795 of the family's 1533-position model. The record is from RNAcentral.
CCUACGGGAGGCAGCAGUGGGGAAUAUUGCACAAUGGGGGAAACCCUGAUGCAGCGACGCCGCGUGAGUGAAGAAGUAUUUCGGUAUGUAAAGCUCUAUCAGCAGGGAAGAAAAUGACGGUACCUGAUUAAGAAGCCCCGGCUAACUACGUGCCAGCAGCCGCGGUAAUACGUAGGGGGCAAGCGUUAUCCGGCUUUACUGGGUGUAAAGGGAGCGUAGACGGCAGCACAAGUCUGGAGUGAAAUGCCGGGGCUUAACCCCGGAACUGCUUUGGAAACUGUGCAGCUAGAGUGCAGGAGAGGUAAGUGGAAGUUGUAGGGGAGAGGUGAAAUGAGGAGAUAGGAGGAGGAACAGCAGGGGCGAAGGCGGCUGAAUGGACUGUAACUGACGUGGAGGCUCGAAAGAGUGGGGAGAAAACAGGAUGAGAUACCCGUGUAGGA